This 253-nucleotide ribosomal RNA is filed under the name uncultured bacterium. Its description in RNAcentral is "partial 16S ribosomal RNA". It matches the Rfam family "Bacterial small subunit ribosomal RNA", at positions 524 to 776 of the family's 1533-position model. The record is from RNAcentral.
UACGUAGGGGGCAAGCGUUAUCCGGAAUUACUGGGUGUAAAGGGUGAGUAGGCGGCAUGGUAAGCCAGAUGUGAAAGCCUUGGGCUUAACCCGAGGAUUGCAUUUGGAACUAUCAAGCUAGAGUACAGGAGAGGAAAGCGGAAUUCCUAGUGUAGCGGUGAAAUGCGUAGAUAUUAGGAAGAACACCAGUGGCGAAGGCGGAUUUCUGGACUGAAACUGACGCUGAGGCACGAAAGCGUGGGGAGCGAACAGG